GACGAACGCUGGCGGCGUGCUUAACACAUGCAAGUCGAACGGAAAGGCCCUGCUUUUGUGGGGUGCUCGAGUGGCGAACGGGUGAGUAACACGUGAGUAACCUGCCCUUGACUUUGGGAUAACUUCAGGAAACUGGGGCUAAUACCGGAUAGGAGCUCCUGCUGCAUGGUGGGGGUUGGAAAGUUUCGGCGGUUGGGGAUGGACUCGCGGCUUAUCAGCCUGUUGGUGGGGUAGUGGCUUACCAAGGCUUUGAAGGGUAGCCGUCCUGAGAGGGUGCCCGGCCACCUUGGGACUGAGUUACGGCCCAGACUCCUCCGGCAGGCAGCAGUGGGGAAUAUUGCGCAAUGGGCGGAAGCCUGAUGCAGCAGCGCCGCGUGCGGGAUAACGGCCUUCGGGUUGUAAACCGCUUUCGCCUGUGACGAAGCGUGAGUGACGGUAAUGAGUAAAGAAGCACCGGCUAACUACGUG
Molecule: ribosomal RNA, 468 nt
Filed under: uncultured bacterium
Lineage: Bacteria
Description: partial 16S ribosomal RNA
Rfam family: Bacterial small subunit ribosomal RNA
Source: RNAcentral